UCUGAAUUGAAACGGACUCCUCAGCCUUAGCAAGGGCUUCCUCUCGAUGGCCAGUGUCAUACAAAAUCCAUCCUUCAUAGACAAGCCUUUCAUGCUUAGAAGUAGAACAAUUUCUAGCCAACCGUAGACAACGCAUCGCAGCCUUUUGGCAAUUUAACCGUAAAAGCAGAAGGGAUUGCCGAAAACAUAGAAGGCUCUUCCCAGGGUCAUUUGCCAGCAUAUGG
Molecule: unclassified non-coding RNA, 224 nt
Filed under: Hevea brasiliensis (rubber tree)
Lineage: Eukaryota; Viridiplantae; Streptophyta; Magnoliopsida; Malpighiales; Euphorbiaceae
Source: RNAcentral